CCUUCUAUAGUAUGUUUUUGCAAAAAGAACUAUCUAAGUCAAGAAAUGAAUGAAUUAAACUAAUAAUAAUAAUGUUGCACAUAUCUGUGAUCACAUGCUGUUCAAGUUGCGACUUCCUCUCAACAGCUAAUUGCUUUCUACAUGACUGGCAGAAUACUACUUUGCCAUCCAUUGUAAAAAUUUUGCACUCUUCAUUAUAUGUGGCAAUCCAAUACCAAAGUUUUGUGCUGAGGGGGUUGAUGUUUUCGGCAUUUCUAACAACGAACAGCCUGACUCCUACUCAAAUGGCCCAAGGAAGUUGACUAUGACAUGCAUUUUUCCAACUCUUUCAAACAGAAAGUUGCCAGUUUAAAAAACAAAAUCUCCCAAUAUGUAUAUUUUAUAUGGGAGUGUGAAAUUUUUUGUCGCCUGUUUAAAAGUUAAAAAUCGCAACACUAUCUCGAAUAACA
Molecule: long non-coding RNA, 449 nt
Filed under: Androctonus crassicauda
Lineage: Eukaryota; Metazoa; Arthropoda; Arachnida; Scorpiones; Buthidae
Source: RNAcentral